RNAcentral lists this ribosomal RNA (651 nucleotides) under uncultured bacterium. RNAcentral's name for it is "bacterial SSU rRNA". The stretch from base 1 to 554 matches the Rfam family "Bacterial small subunit ribosomal RNA", at positions 338 to 873 of the family's 1533-position model. The record is from RNAcentral.
CCUACGGGAGGCAGCAGUAGGGAAUCUUCGGCAAUGGGGGCAACCCUGACCGAGCAACGCCGCGUGAGUGAAGAAGGUUUUCGGAUCGUAAAGCUCUGUUGUAAGUCAAGAACGGGUGUGAGAGUGGAAAGUUCACACUGUGACGGUAGCUUACCAGAAAGGGACGGCUAACUACGUGCCAGCAGCCGCGGUAAUACGUAGGUCCCGAGCGUUGUCCGGAUUUAUUGGGCGUAAAGCGAGCGCAGGCGGUUUGAUAAGUCUGAAGUUAAAGGCUGUGGCUCAACCAUAGUUCGCUUUGGAAACUGUCAAACUUGAGUGCAGAAGGGGAGAGUGGAAUUCCAUGUGUAGCGGUGAAAUGCGUAGAUAUAUGGAGGAACACCGGUGGCGAAAGCGGCUCUCUGGUCUGUAACUGACGCUGAGGCUCGAAAGCGUGGGGAGCGAACAGGAUUAGAUACCCUGGUAGUCCCACGACCGUAACGAUAGAGUGCGUAGGUGUUGGUAGUCCGUUUCCGGUACGUUCUAGUGCCGCGAGCUACGACAUAAGACACUCCGCCGUCGGGGAGGUACGGACCGACCGACGGUUAGUAACGUACGAAAGGAAAGUUAGUACGGCGUGAGACGUGACCGAACGGACGACGACGAGGGAGGAGG